Long non-coding RNA from Hypanus sabinus (Atlantic stingray), 2285 nucleotides. RefSeq lists it as uncharacterized. The transcript has 3 exons. Lineage: Eukaryota; Metazoa; Chordata; Chondrichthyes; Myliobatiformes; Dasyatidae. The record is from RefSeq and is a predicted model, not a curated record.
GGCGCCGCGGGUUCCCUUCCUGACGCGCAAGCGCGGUGCUGUUCCUGUUCGGGCGGCCUUGAGGACGGGGGUGAUUUCGGAGCCCCAGAGUCUGGGAACAACUGUCAUCUUCAGGGCUGCGAGUGCAGAUUGGGAAGAAAACUGAAAACUGCAAGUAAGCACUGUCUGAGAAAAUGGACAACAUCGGCCUUCGUGCAGUCAUCCGCUACCUGGGCCUCAAGGGCUUAUCAGCCAAGGAGGUCCACGAGGACAUGGUGGCAACGCUAGGGGAGGGUGCUCCUCCUUUCAGCAUGGUGAAGAAGUGGGUCCCUGAACUCAAACGGGACAGAGAGGGUGUGGAAGACGACCCGUGUCCUAAAAGGGCUGCCACCGUCACCACACAGGAGACCACUGACUCAGCCAAUGGGAGAGAGUGACCCUCCAUGGACGACCUCCCCACCAACUGAGCGGAAGUGACAAUGAAGCGUGGAGCGCCUGGCACAGAGUGGAAGGCCACGUCACAGAAACAGAGUGGUUUGUUCUGACAGUACAGAAACAAGAGGUUAACACAAAAACAAUAUCAAAAAUACCCAACAAAAGACCCAUGAAUUGAAGAAGACGUGCAGAAAAUUCCAACAGAAACAGUGACAAUCCAGCACAUUACAGGAUCCUGCAGCAGUUUAACUCAAUCUGAUUAUGCGCACAGGCACAAUCAAGUGGCAAACAGCAUUCAAUAAAAUCUUGCGUUAAAACACAAGCUUAUGAACAAUAUAUUAUUAUAAAUACAGAGCUGAUCCAGUUUUACAGUCAGAUCUAUUUUUACAGAUAGGACAAUAGAUAAUACGCACCUGGAUAUAAUAUUAGAGGUUAAACAAGCAAGAACAACUUACUUAAUGCAAACACGUUCCAAACACACACAACAUUCUGUAUUCAAUCCAUGAAAAACGCCUGAAAUAUGCAGACUUGAAAGACAAAAUUGAAAGACUGUCGAACGUGGACUGUGUAUAUAUUGACCCUACCUUAACAUCUACAACGGGUUUUGUUCCAAAGUCACUACACAGUCACAUGAAACAAUUGAACCAGGCGAUAACACUUCUGUAAGUCUCCAGAAAGCCACAAUACGAAACAGCAUUGGAACAGUCCGAAAGUCCCUGUCAACUGAGUGUGCUUGUUUAUGUCCACAAGUCAAGUUUUAUCAAAUUUAGCAAAUAAAUAAUAAUAAUAACCAUGCAAUUAUACUGGAGGAAAUGCAGGAGAUUCAACAAGUAGUUUGCUAGGAUGGAAAUUUAUCAGAAAUCAGGAAGUGAGCUGACAUGCUUUCCCUGAGGAAGAGUAGGCAUUGGAGUUUCCCGUGGAAGUCUGUAUAGCUGGGAAUAACGUGCCCGAGUUCUGUAGUGUGAAGCAUUUCUCCAAACGCGUUAAUCUAACGCGAAGGACAAGUGCAAGGUUUACUGUGAGUUUAUUUUGAGUCUGUUGACUUUUCGCUGCAUUCUUACCGGAAAGUUUCCAGUGACGAAUGAGUUACAUUUCCGCCGAUUUGGUUUUGAAUGCCCCCCCCCCCCCCAACCCCGAUCCAGCCCCGCCCUGUCAUUACCGAUAGUGGGGUGUCGGUGACAAAAGCGGGAAUAUGGUGAAAAAAUAAAAAGAAAAGGUAGGCUGAGUUUAAUAAUUGGUAGGAGGUGGAGUUCGUAGGCUCUGGGUGCCGAAGUGCCUAGUCCCGUGGUGUAUUCUCGGGAUGUCAACCUGUUUCACUGCCGCUGCGUUCUCUGAUGAACACUGGUUCUGUGGUUUCGGGAUGAAGACUGGCCGCCUCUGAGACGAACAUCGAUAUUCUGUUUACUAACUACUUGAAUAAUUGGCGUGAGCGGAUAUUUCGCUGUGCUGAUGAACCUGGACUGAGUCACCCCAUAAAUAAACGUGUUUGUGCAGCAGAAAGUCUGAGUAUUCAAAUAUGUAUUCUGAAGCGUUGUAUUCAUUUUGAUCCAGUCGAGCAAUGGUGUUGUAAAGGAAUUCGGAAACAUCUGCCGACCACAGGAUGAUGAAGCUUCCGGGGACGAUGAGAAGUUUGCAGACCUCCAUCUCCGGCUCAAUCCGGUUCCCUGCCUUUCCCUAACCCCUCAGUCCCUUACGGGUGCGACUAGUCACUAAAAUGUGUCUGACUUGAAAAGUAGUAUGAACAGGAUCGGGAGUAAUGGCGUUAGAACAGGAGCCAAACAUCUAAACCCCACCCACCCGGUAUCGGUACAGUAGUUCGGCUUUUGAAUACAGUCCCAGGAGUAAUAUACAAAUAUAUCUACUGCCCCCCC